UAUGUGACGGGAGGUGUUUCUUUUCUGGUCCAAUCUAUUUGGAGUUCUGUAGGCUUCUUGUAUGUCUAUGGGUAUCUCUUUUUUUAGGUUAGGGAAGUUUUCUUGUAUGAUUUUGUUGAAGAUAUUUACUGGUCCUUUGAGCUGGGAGUCUUCACUCUCUUCUAUACCUAUUAUGCUUAGGUUUGAUCUUCUCAUUGAGUCCUGGAUUUCCUGUAUGUUUUGGACCAGUAGCUUUUUCCGCUUUACAUUAUCUUUGACAGUUGAGUCAAUGAUUUCUAUGGAAUCUUCUGCUCCUGAGAUUCUCUCUUCCAUCUCUUGUAUUCUGUUGGUGAAGCUUGUAUCUACAGCUCCUUGUCUCUUCUUUUGGUUUUCUAUAUCCAGGGUUGUCUCCAUGUGUUCUUUCUUGAUUGCUUCUAUUUCCAUUUUUAAUUCCUUCAACUGUUUGAUUGUGUUUUCCUGGAAUUCUUUCAGGGAUUUUUGUGUCUCCUCUCUAUGAGUUUCUACUUGUUUAUUUAUGUUUUCCUGGAAUUCUUUCAGGGAUUUUUGUGUCUCCUCUCUAUGGGCUUCUACUUGUUUAUUUAUGUUUUCCUGGAAUUCUUUCAGGGAUUUUUGCGAUUCUUUCAGGCAUUUUUGCGAUUCCUCUCUGUAGGCUUCUACUUGUUCUCUAAGGGAGUUCUUCACGUCUUUCUUGAAGUCCUCCAGCAUCAUGAUCAAAAAUGAUUUUGGAAGUAGAUCUUGCUUUUCUGGUGUGUUUGGAUAUUCCAUGUUUGUUUUGAUGGGAGAAUUGGGCUCCGAUGGUGCCAUGUAGUCUUGGUUUCUGUUGCUUGGGUUCCUGCGCUUGCCUCUCGCCAUCAGAUUAUCUCUAGUGUUACUUUGUUCUGCUAUUUCUGACAGUGGCUAGACUGUCCUAUAAGCCUGUGUGUCAGGAGUGCUGUAGACCUGUUUUCCUCUCUUUCAGUCAGUUAUGGGGACAGAUUGUUCUGCUUUCCGGCGUGUGGUUUUUCCUCUCUACAGGUCUUCAGCUGUUCCUGUGGGCCUGUGUCUUGAGUUCACUAGGCAGCUUUCUUGCAGCAGAAAAGUUGGUCUUACCUGUGGUCCCAAGGCUCAAGUUCGCUCGUGGGGUGCUACCCACGGGCUCUCUGCAGCGGCAGCAACCAGGAAGACCUGUGCCGCCGUUUCCGGGAUCUUCAGUGCACCAGGGUUCCAGAUGGUCUUUGGCUUUUUCCUCUGGCGUCCGAGAUGUGUGUGCAGAGAGCAGUCUCUUCUGGUUUCCCAGGCUUGUCUGCCUCUCUGAAGGUUCAGCUCUCCCUCCCACGGGAUUUGGGUGCAGAGAACUGUUUAUCCGGUCUGUUUCCCUCAGGUUCCGGCGGUGUCUCAGGCAGGGGUCCUGCCGCUCCUGGGCCCUCCUCCACGGGAGCCCAGAGGCCUUAUACAGUUUCCUCUUGGGCCAGGGAUGUGGGCAGGGGUGAGCAGUGUUGGUGGUCUCUUCCGCUCUGCAGCCUCAGGAGUGCCCACCUGACCAGGCGGUUGGGUCUCUCUCUCACAGGGUCUGGGGGCAGAGAGCGCUUCUUGUACCUUGAUAGACACACACUUCUUUAGGUUAGGGAAAUUGUCUUCCAUGAUUUGGUUGGAAAUAUUUUCUGUGCCUUUGAUCUCUGGGUUCCUUCUCCUUCCUCUAUUACUACCAUUUGCAGAUUUGGUUUUUUUUUCAGAGUCCCAGAUUUCCUGGUUUGUUUUUUUUUACAUUUAACAUUUUAUUUGUCUAAUAUAUCAUCAUUUCUUCUCUCCUGACUUCAAUGCCUUUUUUUACAUAUCUUGUAUCCUGUUGGCGAGGCUUCCCUCUGAUAUUCCUGUUCAAGUUCCUAAGUUUUUAAUUCCCAGUUUUCCCUCAGUUUGAGUUUUUUUUUAUUAAUUCUAUUUCCAUUUCAUGUCUUGAGCAAUUUUCUUCAUUCUACUGUUUAUGUUUUUGUUGAUUUAAUUAAUGGAUUUAUGUAUAUCUUUUAUAAUAUUCUUGAUCAUAUCCAUAAUAGCUUUUUUGAAGUACUUGUCUUGUGCUUCAGCUAUAUUGCAUUUCUCAGGGCCUAUUGUUGUAGGGUUGCUUGACUCUCGUGAAGACACAUCGUUCUGGCUGUUAUUGAUUGUGUUUUUAUCCCGCUGUCUGGGUAUCUAUGUUUUUGAUGAUUGUAAUUCCUUGUAUUAAAGUCUUUUUGGAUGGGUUUUCCACUCCUUGGUUUUGCUUACCUGUCUGUCCUUUACAAGCUUGAGGUGGCUGCAGAUUUCAUGGUAGGGAAUGCUUCUGAGUCCCUGUCAGGUGUGACCAAUGAGGAUCCUAAGUAUAACUUGUUUCUAGGUAUUGGGAGCAGAGCCACAGAACUGGGUAUAGAUUAGAAGGGCAGGGUCUGAGAGGGUCUACAGGAAGAAGAAAAGGUGGGUCUUCUAGGAGGAUCUGAUUCCCUGGUCAGGGAGAGACUGCAUUGGAUGAUGGAGGUGAGAUGAAGGGAGGUGAAGUAAGGAAGGAAUGCUGUAGGAGAGGACCUACUUAGUUCCCCGGGGAUGCUCUUGGGAUGUUUUAAAUGGAGUGGUUUUUCAAUUUAAUUUUAAAAAUUUUGUUCAUUGAUAGUGUAUAGAUUGAUAGUGUAGUUGCUCGAACUUUAAUAGUUUACUACAUGGGAGUGUGUGCAUGCAAGCUUCCAAAGAUGCAAAGCAAGCAGUACGCCUACGCGACUAUGAUACCUGUGAACAAUAGCAACGACCAGCACAGUUUGACAACCCCAAGGGUGCAGUAGUGGCCCACAUACCUUGGUGGUAACCAGUAGCUCUCUAAUUGGAUUUAAGACCCACUUAACAAGGAGACCAUGUCUGGUACUGGAAACUUAGCCAACUAUCCAGGUCUAUUGUGGAUCUUGGGGGAGAAGCUACAAACCACCACUUUGCUAAAUCUGUGUCUUUUAUUCUAUUUUCUUUCCUAAUUGCUCUCCAUGGUACUGCUAGUACAAUGUUGAACAAAGUGCCAGAGUGGACAACCUUGUAUUUCUACUCUUUGGAAUAAGCAACUCACAUUUUCUACCAUAAGGCACGAUUUUCUUUGCUCUGUUGAGGGUGUUUUGUAUUAGUCUUAGUUUGCUAAGUAUGUAUGUUCAUGUGUUUAUUGUGACCUAAUUUUCAAUUGUUUAGGAAUGCUUAUUCUACACAUCUUGUGUACUAUAGACUUUGUUGUUUAUUUUAUUGACAUAAAAUGCAUUAAUUAAUUUUUGUAUGUUAAACCAACCUUGUAUUUCUGUGACAAAUUCCACAUAGUUACAUUACAUAACCCCUUUUUUUGCACAUGGGUUAAUUCACUUUGUUAAUAUUGUAUGUUGAGACACUAUCAACUAACCAGGACCCCUCAGAGCUCCCAGAGGCUAAGCCACCAACCAAAGAGCAUAUAUGGGCUGGUUCAUGCCCCCACCCCCACAGACUACAGAUGUAGCAAAGGACUGCCUUGUCUGGCCUCAGUUGGAAAGGAAAUGCUUAAUCCUGUAGAAACUUAAUGCUUCAGGGAAGGGGUAUGAUAGUGGAAUGUGGUAGGAGUGGGUGGGUAAAUAGAGAAGCAAACUUUCAGAAGCAAAGAGGAAGGGGUAGGGUGAAGAACUCGUGGAGGAGGAGCCAGGAAGGGGGGCAUGAUUUGGAAUAUAAAUAAUUGAUAAAAUAUUGUGUGUAGAGAAUAUACAAACAUUCUUGAAAUAUUUUUCUGUAAUUUUGGUAUUUGGGCAAUACUGAACAGAUAGGCUGGGUUAUGAAACUCAGUCCUAUUUUAGAAGAACUAACAAAGAAUUACUAUUAAUUCUGUCUAACAUUUUUGGUAAAAAUUUUGUAGAAAAAUCAUUGUAGCCUAUGCUCUUUUUUUCUGGCUAUUUUUAAAUUCUUUAUUGAACUUAAGUAGUCUGUGUCUAAGGGAAGAGCUUAUUAAUUUCCUAUUUUCUUUAUAAUGUGAGCACUUAGGACUAAAAAUUUUCCUUUAAACACUACUUGAUAGAAUCUCAUGUAUUUUGCUAUAGAAAUAUCUUUCUUCUCAUUCAUCUUAAAAUGUUCCCCAAUUUCUUUGGUCCAUUAUUUAUUUAAUUGCCCAUCAUUUCGUUUGUGUUAAAAUUCAAAAUGCUAGCUAAUGGCUUGUAAGUCACUUAACUGUGACUUCUGGAGAACAUACUGUGUGUGAAUUUAGUCCUUUCUAAUUAUGUGCCCAAGCUUUGUCAACCGUGUGGUCUGUUCUAAAGAGUGCCCCAUGUACAUUUGAGGAGAACCUAUGUGCUGCUAUUGGUGGCCAGAGUGCUAGAAGCCCAUUCUACAUGUCCUAGUGUGCCAAUCUUUCAGUAGAUAAUACAAGGAAAUAGGGUUUUUAAUGUAUCAAUGAAAUAAAUAUUACUCCCCUUAUCCCAUAUUUCUCUUACAUUUUUUUAUUGAGAGGAUUUACAAGUGCUGUGGCUUUUAGAAAUACAUAUACAAAUUGUAGAAAUUCAUGUAUUCUUUGAAUUUCUUUGAGUAGACACUUAUUCUCUCUCUCUCUCUCUCUCUCUCUCUCUCUGUGUGUGUGUGUGUGUGUGUGUGUGUGUGUGUGUGUGUGUGUGUGUGUGUGUGCAGUGCACUGAAGUACAAAUGCAGCCUCAAAUGUUUUUUUCCCUUAUAAAAUUAAUGAUUUGGGGACUGGCAAGAUGGCUCAGCAGGAGCUAAAGCUGAUGACUCGAGUUUAAUCCAUGGAACCUAUAUAUUAGAAGAAAAGAUUCAGCUCCUACAGGUUGCCCUCUGAUUUUGCACACAUGCACAUACAUAUGUAGACACACAAACACACACACACAUACACUAUAAAAUUUUUAAAAAAAACAUAAAGUAGAAAAGGAUUCUGGGGGAAGUUAAGAAGUAAAUUAGAUAAUGAACUAACACAUCUGAAGCCUCACAUCACGUUUUUCUAACAUGUAUAAGUUCAUGUUCCUAUUUCAGUUCUGCUUGUUAUGUGAAUAUUGUUAAUUCUGUGUUUGUGCAUGCAUGCACGUGUGUUUGCACGUAUGUGGAUGUUCAUAUGCAUGUGGUUGUGUGUGCACAUACUCACAAGUGCAUGUAGAGGCCAGAUGUUGAUGGCAAGCAUCUUCCCUUGCCAUUCUCCUCUUUAUUCACAGAGGCAGGAGCUGAGCCUGGAGCUUGUUCAUGCCACUUGUCCAGCUAGUCAGCUUACACAUGGAUCCCAGAUUCACCUGAGUUUUGGGGUUAUGGAUGGGCCAUCCACCUGGCUUCUUGCAAGAGUACUGGAAAUCUGAACUCUGGUCUUCAGGCUAGCAUAGCAAGUGAUUUAUCCAUUGAGCAAUCUUCCCAGUGCUAAUGCCUUAGUGGUACUCUUCUACCAUUGGCUUUUUAAGUUUUAAAGAGCUAUUGAUUAGACAAACCUGACCCGUUGGCUACAUCAGACUAAAAGACCAUGUUUACCAACAUUGUUUCAAAGCCUAAAAGACAGUGUUCUCUUAUUUUAUGCUGAUUUGAAAAGAGAGGAUUUGGUUUCAACUCCCAGUUUGUUUGUUUUCAAUAUUGCCUGCAAGGUAGAAAGCAAUUCUGCAUAGACUUGACGCCUUACUCAGCCGUUGAAAGCAGAUGAGCUUGUCAUGUGACUUCAUUCAGAACUGAAAAAAAUUAAUAAAUCAUAGCUUUUACUAUGUUUCUGUAGCUUCGAAACAGAAUUUACUUUCAAUGAGAAAGAUAAUCAUUUAAUAAAUGUGUGUUGCUUUGGGGAAACAGUGUUUACAUAUAUCGUAGUCAUAACCUUCAAAUUUUAAAAGAAUGAAAUUCACUACAGUAAAACCCACUGAGUUUUACUUAAUAAAAGUUAAACAGUGAAUAAAGCCAGUUACCUCUCUUUCUCUCUCUCUCUCUCUCUCUCUCUCUCUCUCUCUCUCUCUCACACACACACACACACACACACACACACACACACACACACACACACACACACCAUACAUAACUUUUUAGACAGGUUCUCUCGACUUAGCCCAGGCUGGCCUCAGACUUAGAGUAUAAGCUUCAGCCUCCUGGCGCUGGGGUUACAGUUGUGCAUCAGCUUGCCUAGCGCCAUCCUGUGUCAUUUCGAAGGUGUGUUCUGAGGCUUCUGUCUCAGUACUGAGGUUACAGACACUGAGCUCCCAGUUGUGAGAACUGUAACAAUAAAGAGUACUAAGUGCUGCUUUGGUUUCCUCUAAUUCCACUUAGAACAGAUGCUUAACUCAAGCCGAGUCUUACGGUUUCUCUUAACAGUGACAGCUGGAAAUGGGGAUUUAUAGCAAUAAGUGAACAUUCUCUGAAAGUACAUAUCAUGUGUCUUAGUUUGGGCUUCAUCACUGUGAAGAGACACCAUGACCAAGGCAAUUCUAUAAGAAAACAGUUCACUGGUUUACACUUUCAGAGGUUCAGUCCAUUAUCUUCAUAACGGGAAGCAUGGCAGCGUGCAGGCAGAUAUGGUGCUGGAGGAGACAAGAGAGUCUUACAUCUUGAUCCGAAGGCAGCAAAUGGAGACUGGAGUCAGCCUUGGAUGGACCUUGAACAUAGGAGACUCAAAGCCCACUGCCACAGUGACACACUUCUUCCAACAAGGCCACACCCACUCCAACAAGGCCACACCUACUCCAACAAGGCCACACCUCCUAAUAGUGCCACCCCCCCAUGGGCCAAGCAUUCAGACACAUGAGUCCAUGACAGGGGCACCUAUUCAACCCACCUCAUCAUGUGAGUGGAUUUUUUAAAAAAUAAAAGUUAGGGGGUUGGGGAUUUGGCUCAGUGGCAGAGCGCUUGCCUAGGAAGCGCAAGGCCCUGGGUUCGGUUCCCAGCUCAGAAAAAAAAAAAAAAAAGAACCAAAAAAAAAAAAAAAAGACUGUAUAAAAAAAAUAAAAAUAAAAGUUAGUUUGCACAUUAGAUGUAAACUAAGGAACUAUCACUUUUUGGUAUGCAUGUACGUGUGUAUUAAUCUUUCUCUGUUUUUAAUAGUACUUCGAGAAUUUCAUACAACUUAUUUAAUUCAUAGUAGCCCCUGUCUCACUCCUUCCAGAUCCAGCUCUCAUUCUUCUCAACUUUGUGUCCCCCACCCUUUUUAAAACCCAGUACAGUUUGCUGUCCAUGUACUCUUGUAUACAUGGCCUUCCUUGGAGGGGGUGGUCAACUAACACCCCUUCUCCUAGAAGCCAGAGACUGCCAGGAGCUCUUGUUAGCAGUGGGACUUCAUGCCCACCUUCCCUCUUCAUGCAGGACUUUUGUCUGGCCUUAGUCUGUAUACACUGUCAACACUGCUGUGGACUCAUAUAUGCAGCUACCCCGCUGGGUCCAGAAAACAGUUUCCUUGUAGUUGUCCACCACUUUGGUCUUACAAUCUUUCUGACCUCUCUUCACUAUGAUCCCUGAUCUUUGGGAGGAGAGUGUGGCAUAGGUGUCCCCAAUCGAGGACUGCCAGCUCCUGGUUUGUUUUCUCAUUUGGUAUUCUCAUCACUGUUAUUUGUAUUUUUCAUGUGUUCAUUUAACACUACAUAUAGGUUCAACCACUAUGUGCUUAUUGCUCUAGUUGAUCGGAGAACCUGGGAGAGCAGGGUCUAAAAAUGAGGUCCACUACAGAGCAUCAGCCCGUUUAUACUCUGAGGGUCACCUGAGUAAAAUGUCACCUGAGUAAAGUGUCCAAUUGCAAGGACAAGCUGCACCUGGCAAAAACAUGUUUCUCCGUUGAGGCAGAUAAACAAUUAGCAAUUUCCAGUUGUAAUGAAUAAUUUAAAGCAAGCUCACACCUAUCUGCUACACUUGAGGAGCAGGAACCCACAUUCCCAAAACAAUCCUGUGUUUUGAAGACACUGAGGUCAUCCCAAGACUCUUGCUUUCUUGGUGUUUUCUCACAAGCACUCAGAACUCUCACAGGACUCCAUUCGUGGACUGUGUUCUGACAACCGUGUGUAUUUUUAGCACUGUAUUAUCUAUCACCCAGUGUCAUCCCUGGCAUAGAGUAUGUGCCCUCAAACGAACAAAGAAAUGUCAAGAGAUGUGCCUCUAAUCUGGUUUAAAUGCAAAUCCCUUAGACUCUGUCUUGGUUGGCUUCCUUGAUUGAGGUAUUAAUGACAUCUUACUUAGAAUACAUCACUUCAUUGUGAUAGUCAAAGCACUUUAAAGGACUCAUUGAAAGGUGGUUGUAUCCCAUCUCCACCUCUGGUUACUGAAGACGACUCUCUGAACCCUAAGGAUAAAGAUCACUACUUCUGAUCCUUCUCCUUGGCCACCGUAAGAGUCUCUCUCGUACAGUAAGCCAGUUCCUAAGCUGCAAAGGUCAAGCCUUUGCUUCAUCAGGUGUCAGGUUUAACAGCAGAAGCCCAAGGCCAGCACCUCACUGGAGGCUGAUGUGUGGGAGCUGGACAGGGUUACUGUGGAAACAGAAGCUGGUAUAGCUGCCAUAAUUCUGGAAUUCUGAGUCCUAACUGGAGAAACACACCAGUGGGAAGCAGGUAGUUCUGCCUAACCCAAUUCUCAAAAUCCUCAGAAAGCUACCCAUGAAUCACACCCGGGGGCUCUGUCCUGAGAAACCUAGGACAGGAACAUCAUUGAGAGCAGAAGUAGCAACUCUCCGAAGAGGCCUGGAUGAAGCUGAGCAAAGCAUGGUGGACCACAAGACUAGAACUUCUCGUGGUGUCUCCAGGACGCUCAUGUGCAAAGAUGUUCAUUCUCAACUCCCAGGAUUUCAGUUUAAAUAAAAAUGACUAGGCCAGGCAGUGGUGUCCACGCCUUUAAUCCCAGCUCUCAGGGCAGAGGCAGAGGCAGAGGCAGGCAGCUCUGAGUUCCAGGCCAGUCUGGUUUGCAGAGUGUGAUCCAGGACAGCCAGGACUACACAGAGAAACACUGUCUCAAUAAUAAUAAUAAUAAUAAUAAUAAUAAUAAUACACAAUUUUAAAGUAAGUCUCUGCAUUCGUGGAGAUUAUGUUGUACUCAUGAAUGCUUUGUUGGUUUUGAUCUUCACAGCUCUCUGGGGGAAGCUGAACAAUAUUUAAUUUAUUUGCUAAUAGAGCCUGUGUGAUGCUAGGUGUUUCUUAGAAACUAGCCAGCAGGUCUCAGAAGCUGCUGUGUCAUGUUCCCAUCGUACUAUCCUGCUUCCACUAACUCCUCUCUGUUAGGUCAGAAGUUUUUGAAGAAAUAUAAGGUCUGUUUUAUUUAAUAGCUAUAAGGCUAAUAGCAUAAAUGCAAACUGAUGGCAUGUUUCUGAUUUUGAAAUCAUGCCACUUCAAGAUACCUUUAUAAAAACCAUGUAAGUCAGAAUUGCUUUGUGCAGAUCUGGCUUGCCAUUCAUUUAAUACCUGACUUAUCGGCAAACCUGUAGGAACUGGGCUCCCUGUGGUUAAAUGUUCAAAUACUGUACACAUCACCCCAGACAGUACCUGUCCCGGAUAACAUAUUAGCUGCUGAGUAAGGGGAAUUCUUAUGCCAUCGGCUGCCUCUCGGAAGGUGUGUUAUCACCUAGCUCCUUUCUAAGUCAACACACCAAGGGAGCCACGGGUACAUUAUGUUGAUCUGCACAUCUUUUAGCCCAAUGAGCAUCUUAUGAGGAGAAAACAUCCUUUGCUUUUAAUGUCAGUGGAUGCCUUAGGAGAUGAAGUUUCCCUUUGAACUUCGUUGCUGCGAGAUAAUUUCUUAUUAUCUCAAGGUUCCUAACAUUCAAAUGUAGAUGUUGUCACCUUAUGAACUUACAGCGCUUUCCCAUUGCUGAUAAGUCACUUACAAAACAUAAGUCAGGUAUGAUUAUUAGUCUAAGCAUGCCAACUUCUAGAAAGAACUUAAAUGACCUAGUAAAUGUUUAGGCUCACAUAGAAUAAACCAGAUAUGGAAAAUAUAUCUAGUUAGCAGAAAUGACCAAGCAAUCUCUUUAUAGCUGUGUUGUGCCAGUCAGACAUUUGAUAGACAUCUACUUGACCUUUUGUCCCACUACAGGAUUAUAUUACGAUUUGCAUGGGAAUUGUCUGCUCAAGGGUGAGGCAUUGAAGGUUUGGUUCCUAGCACAACAAUGUUUAGAAGUAAGGGUUCAGUGAUUGGAUCUUGAGGGGUGGGUGAAGUGGAAACAUAAGAGUUCUUUGGGUGAGGCAUUGAAGGUUUGGUUCCUAUCACAACAAUGUUUAGAAGUAAGGGUUCAGUGAUUGGAUCUUGAGGGGUGGGUGAAGUGGAAACAUAAGAGUUCUUUGGGAAGUCGGUUGGAUGGUGUUUUGCUGAGGCAAACAUGUGAAGGAAAGUUUUGUUAACGUGGACACAGUUGUGAAAGACCAAGGCAGACUCAUGAAGGAACAUUUCACUGAUGCAGACACAGGAGAGAGGAUGUUCUGUUAAAGCAAGCAUGUGAAAGGACACGGGAUGAAAGGUUCUUUACUAACAACACGCACAUGUUGGUCCGCCUUACAUUGUGUAGUUGAGCUGCAUUUGUCAGGACUCUAUAGAGAGAAACGCACCAAAAACCUUCUGGUGGUCUGCUGCAGUUUCUUGCCGCUUCCGAGAACUCAGACUGACUGGAUGCAUGUGCUUUGGCAAGACAUAUGUAGGACAAUUAUAUUUGGGUAUAAAUAGGAUUCCGCCACAGAGUGAUGGAGACAGAGCUUGGCUUGGGGUACCAGCUAGCUGUGCCUCUCUUGUGGGUCUCAUGUCUUCACUGAUCUUCACUUCCCUGAGAGAGGCACAGCCGAGAACUUCUCCUGGUGUUCCUACUGGUCCCUCCUGUUGAGUCUGAGGCCUGACUGUCUCUGCUAGGUCAUGCCACUGCUGUUGACCCAACUCUACUGAACUGGACUGCUGGUGUAUCCAUGAAGUCCAUGAUAUGUUUGUGAGUGAAUCAAGCUGCCACUGCUGACCUGUGAACCAAACUGUCAAUUUCCAGAUAACACAGCUGGGAGUUACUCUAAAGAACCUUUCUAAACAGCUCCAUUUCCCUCUCAACCCCUGUAUCCUUUCUUUCCCACUACCUCUGGUGGGUUGUGGGCUACAACGCAUCUAAGAACCAUCAUUAAAAAAAGUUUGUUUUUUUUUUUUUUAAAUCAAAGUUACAGUUGGGCCUUCAAUAGGGGAAGAAUCCACUCACAUGUUUGUAACUUGAUGGCGUAAUUGCAAGUGGUUGGACAGGAGGUGGAAUGUAGCUGGCAGACAUAGAUUACUAGGGCUAUAGCACUGGUCAUUACAUCCUGCUCCCUGGCCUUCCUCCCUAUUGUUUCUUCUUCCUGGAGGUGAUGAGCUAAGUGGGCCUAUUCCAGGAUGUCUUCUCUGCCAUGACUCUCCAGUGUACCACAGCCCCGAGUGACCAUGGACUGAAAAUUCAAACCAUGAGCCCAAAGAAUCUCUUCUUUUAAAAGUGUCUAUUUCAGAAACUUUGUCAGAGCGGUUGUCUUAGUGACCUUCCCAUUGUUGCCAAACAAAAUGCCUCACUUUGGGUUGGAGAGACAGUUCCGUUGUUAAGAGCACCUGUUGUUCUCAAUGAGGACUUAGGUUCAAUCCCAGCACCCACAUGGCACCUCACAACUGUCCAUCACUCCAGCUCCAGGGGACUUAAUGUCCUCUUCUGACCUCAGUGGGCACCAGUCCAGAAUCCUGGUCCAGAUAGUGGUGCCAUCUACAUUCAAGGCUAAGGCUUCUCCCUUCAUCAGUAGACAGCAAGAAGGCACAAUCACUGAAGAAGCGGGGCAGACUCUUACCAGAUACCCAAUCUUCUGGGCCCUGGAUGUUUGACUUCUCAGCCUCUUGAACUGUGAGGAAGAGCCUGAUAAACUACCACCCUCGGAUGUUUCUUCACAGCCAUCUGGGCAGCCUAGACACUGACUCUCAAGUUAAUCAAGCUCUUCAUCAAAACCUUUCUUCUGCUCAGCCCUGGCCACUCUGUCACAACCUUAGCUUCCUCUGGUGUCUGAUUUUUCUGGUGCGUGAUCCAUUACUGUGGUUUGGAUGCUCGACUUUGCUGCUGUUCUUGGUCCACAGCCGUUCUUUGAUGUACAGGAAACAGAUCUGGGUGUCACUCUCUGGGAUUUAGGAUGGCUGACUUUUCUUACAGCAAACCGGAAUCCAAAUCAUAAAUAUAUCAUUUCCCUUGUUCCCUCCCAGAGUUGACAGAGGUAGAGAAAUUAGCUUUGGACCUGGGUUGGGUGCGUGAGCAGAAGUGGAGCAGAGAGCCCAGCUGUAACUUUGCCAAGAGUGAUACCGAGCAGGUCCCUAAGGAAAGCAUAAAGGUUUGGGUUGAAUAUGAGGGGUUUCCAGAAAAUCUAGAGAACGCUUCUGAGCAAAACAGACUUGGUAUGGGCAAUAAUGCUCUCUCCUUUUCCAAUGUUUAAUGGAAAAUAGGACAGGAGGAAGAGAAAGGUGGCUCAGCAGUUCAGAGCUCUGCCUGCUUUUCUAGAGGUCCUGAGUUCAAUUCCUAGCAACCGCAUGGUGGCUCACAACCAUUGAUAAAGAGAUCUGGUGCCCUCUUCUGGUGUGCAGGCAUACAUGCAGGCAGAACACUGCAUACAUAAUAAAUAAACAAACAAACAAAUAAAUAAAUCUUAGACAAAAGAAAA
This is a long non-coding RNA of Rattus norvegicus (Norway rat), 12557 nucleotides long. RefSeq lists it as uncharacterized. NCBI's taxonomy places the organism in Eukaryota, Metazoa, Chordata, Mammalia, Rodentia, Muridae. The record is from RefSeq and is a predicted model, not a curated record.